RNAcentral lists this ribosomal RNA (738 nucleotides) under uncultured bacterium. RNAcentral's name for it is "bacterial SSU rRNA". It matches the Rfam family "Bacterial small subunit ribosomal RNA", at positions 75 to 847 of the family's 1533-position model. The record is from RNAcentral.
GUCCGCAAGGAUGAGUAAAGUGGCGUACGGGUGAGUAACACGUGGAUAAUCCACCUCUUAGUGGGGAAUAACUUUGGGAAACCGAAGCUAAUACCGCAUAAGCCUGAAAAGGGAAAGAAGCAAUUCGCUGAGAGAGGAGUCCGCGGCUGAUUAGCUAGUUGGUAGGGUAAAGGCCUACCAAGGCGAUGAUCGGUAGCCGGCCUGAGAGGGCACACGGCCACACUGGCACUGAAACACGGGCCAGACUCCUACGGGAGGCAGCAGUGGGGAAUCUUGCACAAUGGGGGAAACCCUGAUGCAGCGACGCCGCGUGAACGAUGAAGCCCCUCGGGGUGUAAAGUUCUUUCGGCAGGAACGAUUAUGACGGUACCUGAAGAAGAAGCUGCGGCUAACUACGUGCCAGCAGCCGCGGUAAUACGUAGGCAGCAAGCGUUGUUCGGAGUUACUGGGCGUAAAGAGUGUGUAGGCGGUGCUCUAAGUUUGGUGUGAAAUCUCCCGGCUCAACUGGGAGGGUGCGCCGAAAACUGGAGUGCUUGAGUAUGGGAGAGGAAAGCGGAAUUCCUGGUGUAGCGGUGAAAUGCGUAGAUAUCAGGAGGAACACCUGCGGUGUAGACGGCUUUCUGGACCAUCACUGACGCUGAGACACGAAAGCGUGGGUAGCAAACAGGAUUAGAUACCCUGGUAGUCCACGCCCUAAACGAUGCAUACUUGGUGUGAGCCAUUCAUUUGGUUCGUGCC